This 951-nucleotide long non-coding RNA is filed under the name Zostera marina. RNAcentral describes it as "long non-coding RNA (ZMAR_LNC000348)". The record is from RNAcentral. Lineage: Eukaryota; Viridiplantae; Streptophyta; Magnoliopsida; Alismatales; Zosteraceae.
GGUAGAUAUAACACAACCUCUCUUACUUAUUAAUUAUUAGCAUCGGAUGGAAAUAUGGAAUACCUACCUUAAUGUAUUUUCAAAAUUAAAUAUCGUUUGGGAUUAUUCCCGCCAAAUAUCAACGGAUGUAAAAUACCUAACAAAUUCCCUUUUCCUUCUUUGUGUUCGUCGAAAUGCGUAAAACCCCACAGGGUGCCGGAGCCGAAGGACCACCGAAGAGACUGACCUUCGACGAGGUACAAAGUCAGACGUACAUGGAAGUGAAGGGAUCAGGGACGGCGAACCAAUGCCCGACCAUCGACGGUGGAGUUGAUUCAUUCAAUUUCAAGGCUGGGAAGUACAACAUGAAGAAACUGUGCUUAGAGCCAACUUCCUUCACUGUUAAAGCUGAGGGUGUUGCGAAGAACUCCCCUUUAGAGUUCCAAAAGACAAAGCUCAUGACUCGAUUAACCUACACUCUAGAUGAGAUCGAGGGCCCAUUCGAGGUUUUCUCCGAUGGGAAAGUCAAAUUUGAAGAGAAGGACGGAAUUGACUAUGCUGCCGUCACAGUCCAGCUACCCGGUGGAGAACGUGUGCCAUUCCUAUUCACCGUCAAACAACUGAUCGGGUCUGGUACCCCUGAGAAAAUUGAAGGGAGUUUCCUCGUGCCAUCUUACAGAGGAUCCUCCUUCCUUGACCCCAAGGGCCGUGGUGGCUCAACUGGGUACGACAACGCAGUUGCUCUACCGGCCGGCGGGAGGGGAGACGAGGAGGGACUAGUUAAGGAGAACAUCAAGGACACCACAGCUUCCCAAGGAAAUAUUAGCCUCAAGGUUACAAAGACCAAGCCAGAGACCGGUGAGGUCAUAGGUGUGUUCGAGAGUAUUCAGCCAUCGGACACCGAUCUGGGAGCUAAGGUUCCUAAAGAUGUCAAGAUACUAGGUGUCUGGUAUGCUCAGUUGGAAUCUUGAU